UACGGAGGAUGCGAGCGUUAUCCGGAUUUAUUGGGUUUAAAGGGUGCGUAGGCGGACUGUCAAGUCAGCGGUAAAAUUGAGAGGCUCAACCUCUUCCCGCCGUUGAAACUGGUGGUCUUGAGUGGAUGAGAAGUACGCGGAAUGCGUGGUGUAGCGGUGAAAUGCAUAGAUAUCACGCAGAACCCCGAUUGCGAAGGCAGCGUACCGGCAUCCAACUGACGCUGAGGCACGAAAGCGUGGGGAUCAAACAGG
RNAcentral lists this ribosomal RNA (252 nucleotides) under uncultured bacterium. RNAcentral's name for it is "partial 16S ribosomal RNA". It matches the Rfam family "Bacterial small subunit ribosomal RNA", at positions 524 to 776 of the family's 1533-position model. The record is from RNAcentral.